CAAAGUGUAGCUUAACUAAAGCCUCUCGCUUACACCGAGGAUAUACCUAUUAAACCUAGGUCACUUUGA
Molecule: transfer RNA, 69 nt
Filed under: Scinax albertinae
Lineage: Eukaryota; Metazoa; Chordata; Amphibia; Anura; Hylidae
Description: tRNA-Val
Source: RNAcentral